RNAcentral lists this ribosomal RNA (872 nucleotides) under Pseudorhizina sphaerospora. RNAcentral's name for it is "LSU rRNA". It matches the Rfam family "Eukaryotic large subunit ribosomal RNA", at positions 22 to 905 of the family's 3401-position model. The record is from RNAcentral. Lineage: Eukaryota; Fungi; Ascomycota; Pezizomycetes; Pezizales; Discinaceae.
GUACCCGCUGAACUUAAGCAUAUCAAUAAGCGGAGGAAAAGAAACCAACAGGGAUUGCCUCAGUAACGGCGAGUGAAGCGGCAACAGCUCAAAUUUUAAAGCUGGCGUCUUCGGCGCACGCGUUGUAAUUUGGAGAGGCAUCUUCGGUUCGGGCGCCAGCCUAUGUUCCUUGGAACAGGACGUCACAGAGGGUGAGAAUCCCGUGCCUGGCUGGCUGUCCCGACCCAUGUGAAGCGCCUUCGACGAGUCGAGUUGUUUGGGAAUGCAGCUCAAAAUGGGUGGUAAAUUUCAUCUAAAGCUAAAUAUUGGCGGGAGACCGAUAGCGCACAAGUAGAGUGAUCGAAAGAUGAAAAGCACUUUGAAAAUAGAGUUAAAAAGUACGUGAAAUUGUUGAAAGGGAAGCGCUUGAGACCAGACUCGGCUGGGGAUGAUCAGCGGCCCUUCUGGGCCGUGCACUUGUCCCCGGUCGGGCCAGCAUCGGUUGAGGCGGCGGGAUAAAGGCCCGGGGAAUGUGGCUCCUCUCGGGGAGUGUUAUAGCCCCAGGCGCAAUGCCGCCAGCCUCGACCGAGGGCCGCGCACUUUGUGCUAGGACGCUGGCGUAAUGGUCUUCAGCGACCCGUCUUGAAACACGGACCACGGAGUCUAACAUCUAUGCGAGUGUUUGGGUGUCAAACCCUUGCGCGGAAUGAAAGUGAACGGAGGUGGGAACCCCUCGCGGGGCGCACCAUCGACCGGUCCUGAUGUCUUCGGAUGGAUCUGAGUAGGAGCAUAGCUGUUGGGACCCGAAAGAUGGUGAACUAUGCCUGAAUAGGGUGAAGCCAGAGGAAACUCUGGUGGAGGCUCGCAGCGGUUCUGACGUGCAAAUCGAUCGU